RNAcentral lists this transfer RNA (73 nucleotides) under Xenopus tropicalis (tropical clawed frog). RNAcentral's name for it is "tRNA-Tyr (GTA) (tRNA-Tyr-GTA-27-1)". It matches the Rfam family "tRNA". Rfam says of the family: Transfer RNA (tRNA) molecules are approximately 80 nucleotides in length. Their secondary structure includes four short double-helical elements and three loops (D, anti-codon, and T loops). The record is from RNAcentral. Lineage: Eukaryota; Metazoa; Chordata; Amphibia; Anura; Pipidae.
CCUUCGAUAGCUCAGCUGGUAGAGCGGAGGACUGUAGAUCGUUAAGUCGCUGGUUCAAUUCCGGCUCGAAGGA